GAUGAACGCUGACAGAAUGCUUAACACAUGCAAGUCUACCUGAACUACGGUUUGGGUGGCGGACGGGUGAGUGACGCGUAAAGAACUUGCCUCACAGAUAGGGACAACACUUGGAAACGAAUGCUAAUACCUGAUAUUAUGAUCUUAGGGCACCUUAGAAUUAUGAAAGCUAUCUGCACUGCGAGAGAGCUUUGCGUCCCAUUAGCAAGGUGGCGAGGUAACGGCGCACGAAGGCGAUGAUGCGAAGCCGGCCUGGGAGGGUGAUCGGCCCCAAGGGGACUGGGGCAGGACCAUUGCUCAUACGGGAGGCAAGGGUGGGAAAUAGUGGACAAUAGACCAAGAGUCUGAUGCAGCCAUUCGGUGUGCACGAUGAAGUUUUUCGGAAUGAAAAGUGCUUUCAGUUGGGAAGAAAAAAAUGACGGUACCAACAGAAGAAGUAACGGCUAAAUACGUG
Molecule: ribosomal RNA, 454 nt
Filed under: uncultured bacterium
Lineage: Bacteria
Description: partial 16S ribosomal RNA
Rfam family: Bacterial small subunit ribosomal RNA
Source: RNAcentral